UUAAGCGACUAAGCGUACACGGUGGAUGCCUAGGCAGUCAGAGGCGAUGAAGGGCGUGCUAAUCUGCGAAAAGCGUCGGUAAGGUGAUAUGAACCGUUACAACCGACGAUACCCGAAUGGGGAAACCCAGUGCAAUUCGUUGCACUAUUGCAUGGUGAAUACAUAGCCAUGCAAGGCGAACCGGGGGAACUGAAACAUCUAAGUACCCCGAGGAAAAGAAAUCAACCGAGAUUCCCCUAGUAGCGGCGAGCGAACGGGGAGGAGCCCAGAGUCUGAAUCAGUUUGUGUGUUAGUGGAAGCGUCUGGAAAGUCGCACGGUACAGGGUGAUAGUCCCGUACACAAAAACACACUUGCUGUGAACUCGAUGAGUAGGGCGGGACACGUGACAUCCUGUCUGAAUAUGGGGGGACCAUCCUCCAAGGCUAAAUACUCCUGACUGACCGAUAGUGAACCAGUACCGUGAGGGAAAGGCGAAAAGAACCCCGGCGAGGGGAGUGAAAUAGAACCUGAAACCGUGUACGUACAAGCAGUGGGAGCACCUUCGUGGUGUGACUGCGUACCUUUUGUAUAAUGGGUCAGCGACUUAUAUUUUGUAGCAAGGUUAACCGAAUAGGGGAGCCGUAGGGAAACCGAGUCUUAACUGGGCGUCUAGUUGCAAGGUAUAGACCCGAAACCCGGUGAUCUAGCCAUGGGCAGGUUGAAGGUUGGGUAACACUAACUGGAGGACCGAACCGACUAAUGUUGAAAAAUUAGCGGAUGACUUGUGGCUGGGGGUGAAAGGCCAAUCAAACCGGGAGAUAGCUGGUUCUCCCCGAAAGCUAUUUAGGUAGCGCCUCGUGAACUCAUCUUCGGGGGUAGAGCACUGUUUCGGCUAGGGGGUCAUCCCGACUUACCAAACCGAUGCAAACUCCGAAUACCGAAGAAUGUUAUCACGGGAGACACACGGCGGGUGCUAACGUCCGUCGUGAAGAGGGAAACAACCCAGACCGCCAGCUAAGGUCCCAAAGUCAUGGUUAAGUGGGAAACGAUGUGGGAAGGCAUAGACAGCCAGGAUGUUGGCUUAGAAGCAGCCAUCAUUUAAAGAAAGCGUAAUAGCUCACUGGUCGAGUCGGCCUGCGCGGAAGAUGUAACGGGGCUAAACCAUGCACCGAAGCUGCGGCAGCGACACUUAGGUGUUGUUGGGUAGGGGAGCGUUCUGUAAGCCGUUGAAGGUGACCUGUGAGGGUUGCUGGAGGUAUCAGAAGUGCGAAUGCUGACAUAAGUAACGAUAAUGCGGGUGAAAAACCCGCACGCCGGAAGACCAAGGGUUCCUGUCCAACGUUAAUCGGGGCAGGGUGAGUCGACCCCUAAGGCGAGGCUGAAAAGCGUAGUCGAUGGGAAACAGGUUAAUAUUCCUGUACUUGGUGUUACUGCGAAGGGGGGACGGAGAAGGCUAGGCUAGCCGGGCGACGGUUGUCCCGGUUUAAGCAUGUAGGCGGAGUGACUUGGUAAAUCCGGUUGCUUAUCAACGCUGAGGUGUGAUGACGAGUCACUACGGUGAUGAAGUAGUUGAUGCCAAGCUUCCAGGAAAAGCCUCUAAGCAUCAGGUAACAUUAAAUCGUACCCCAAACCGACACAGGUGGUCAGGUAGAGAAUACUCAGGCGCUUGAGAGAACUCGGGUGAAGGAACUAGGCAAAAUGGUGCCGUAACUUCGGGAGAAGGCACGCUGGCAUUAGGUAAAGAGACUUGCUCUCGGCGCCGAAGCCAGUCGCAGAUACCAGCUGGCUGCAACUGUUUAAUAAAAACACAGCACUGUGCAAACACGAAAGUGGACGUAUACGGUGUGACGCCUGCCCGGUGCUGGAAGGUUAAUUGAUGGGGUCAGCCUUACGGCGAAGCUCUUGAUCGAAGCCCCAGUAAACGGCGGCCGUAACUAUAACGGUCCUAAGGUAGCGAAAUUCCUUGUCGGGUAAGUUCCGACCUGCACGAAUGGCGUAAUGAUGGCCAGGCUGUCUCCACCCGAGACUCAGUGAAAUUGAACUCGCUGUGAAGAUGCAGUGUACCCGCGGCAAGACGGAAAGACCCCGUGAACCUUUACUAUAGCUUGACACUGAACAUUGAGCCUUGAUGUGUAGGAUAGGUGGGAGGCAUUGAAGUGUGGACGCCAGUCUGCAUGGAGCCAACCUUGAAAUACCACCCUUUAAUGUUUGAUGUUCUAACUCGGCCCCGUGAUCCGGGGUGAGGACAGUGUCUGGUGGGUAGUUUGACUGGGGCGGUCUCCUCCCAAAGAGUAACGGAGGAGCACGAAGGUUAGCUAAUCACGGUCGGACAUCGUGAGGUUAGUGCAAAGGCAUAAGCUAGCUUGACUGCGAGAGUGACGGCUCGAGCAGGUACGAAAGUAGGUCUUAGUGAUCCGGUGGUUCUGAAUGGAAGGGCCAUCGCUCAACGGAUAAAAGGUACUCCGGGGAUAACAGGCUGAUACCGCCCAAGAGUUCAUAUCGACGGCGGUGUUUGGCACCUCGAUGUCGGCUCAUCACAUCCUGGGGCUGAAGUAGGUCCCAAGGGUAUGGCUGUUCGCCAUUUAAAGUGGUACGCGAGCUGGGUUUAGAACGUCGUGAGACAGUUCGGUCCCUAUCUGCCGUGGGCGUUGGAAGAUUGAGAGGGGCUGCUCCUAGUACGAGAGGACCGGAGUGGACGAAUCACUGGUGUUCGGGUUGUCAUGCCAAUGGCAUUGCCCGGUAGCUAAAUUCGGAAGAGAUAACCGCUGAAAGCAUCUAAGCGGGAAACUUGCCUCGAGAUGAGUCUUCCCUGGGGCUUUAAGCCCCCUGAAGGAACGUUAAAGACUAUGACGUUGAUAGGCUGGGUGUGUAAGUGCAGCGAUGCAUUGAGCUAACCAGUACUAAUGAUCCGUGAGGCUUAACCUU
RNAcentral lists this ribosomal RNA (2905 nucleotides) under Yersinia kristensenii. RNAcentral describes it as "bacterial LSU rRNA". It matches the Rfam family "Bacterial large subunit ribosomal RNA". Lineage: Bacteria; Pseudomonadati; Pseudomonadota; Gammaproteobacteria; Enterobacterales; Yersiniaceae. The record is from RNAcentral.